AUGGCGUCGGCGAAGUCGUCACGGUCGAGGCCGGCCGGCCACUCGGGGGUGUUCCCGGUGGGCGCGGCGGCGACGGGGGUUGGUGGUGGUGGAGGCGGCGGCGGCGACGGCGGGGUGCAGCUCGCCGACAAGCUCAAGAUCUUCAAGACCGACAACUUCGACCCCGACGCCUACGUGCAGUCCAAGUGCCAGACCAUGAACGAGAAGGAAAUAAGACAUUUGUGCUCCUAUCUGCAAGAUCUAAAGAAGGCUUCAGCUGAAGAAAUGCGCAGAAGUGUUUAUGCAAAUUAUGCUGCAUUCAUCAGAACAUCGAAGGAGAUAUCCGACCUUGAAGGCGAGCUCUUGUCAAUUAGAAAUUUACUCAAUACACAGGCGGCUUUAAUCCAUGGUCUAUCUGAAGGAGUUCAGAUAGAUUCCCUGACUUCGGGUACUGAAGGUUCUACAGAAGAGGACAUAUCCAAUGUUGAAGGCCAGGAGCCUUCAGAAAUACAGAAAUGGUCUGCAGAUUUCCCUGACAUGCUUGAUGUUUUGCUAGCUGAGAGAAGAGUGGAUGAAGCGCUAGAUGCACUAGAUGAAGCGGAGCGAGUUGCUGCAGACCGGACACAAACUCUAACUACAGCUGAAAUUUCGGCUUUGAGAAGUGCCGUCUCUGAUAAUCGUCAAAAGCUGGCAGACCAGCUUGCUGAAGCUGCCUGUCAGUCUUCUACUCGUGGCAUUGAGCUCCGUGCUGCCGCUUCUGCUCUCAAAAGGCUUGGUGAUGGCCCUCGAGCUCACAGUCUAUUACUCAGUGCACAUAAUCAAAGGCUUCAAUGUAAUUUGCAAACAAUACAUCCGUCAAGCACCUCAUAUGGUGGGGCAUAUACUGCUGCACUUGCUCAGCAAGUUUUUUCAGUUGUAGCUCAGGCGCUCAGUGAUUCUGUGGAAGUUUUUGGCGAUGAGUCAUGUUAUGCAUCUGAGCUGGUUACAUGGGCUACACAGCAGGUUUUGUCCUUUGCACUCCUGGUAAAGAGGCAUGUGUUGUCUUCUUGUGCAGCCGCUGGAGGCUUGAGAGCAGCUGCAGAAUGUGUUCAAAUAUCAAUUGGCCAUUGUUCCUUGCUGGAAGCUCGUGGUCUAUCUGUUUCUGCUGUUCUCCUGAAGCAGUUCAAGCCCAGUCUUGAGCAAGCAUUAGAUGCUAACUUGAGGAGAAUCGAAGAGAGUACUGCUGCACUUGCUGCAGCAGAUAACUGGACACUCACUUAUCCCCCAAAUGGUAUUCACCCAUUAGCUAGAUCUUCUGUUGCUAAUUUGGCACUUCAACCAAAGCUCUCGAGCAGUGCACAUCGUUUCAAUUCUAUGGUUCAGGACUACUUUGAGGAUGUCACACCACUCCUUAGCUUGCAGUUAGGGGGUUCAACAAUGGAUGGGAUUGCAAAAAAUUUCAGCUUGUACAUCAAUCUGCUCAUAAGUGCAUUACCUGGAUCAAUGGAUGACGAAGCUAACAUAGAUGGUUUAGGCAAUAAGAUUAUUAGAAUGGCAGAGACUGAGGAACAGCAGUUGGCUUUAUUAGCCAAUGCAUCUUUACUUGCUGAGGAAUUGCUACCUAGAGCAGCUAUGAAGCUGUCAUCUAUAAACCAGUCCAGCAUGGAUGAUUUGCGUAAAAGAGGACCAGAUAAGCAAAACCGUGUGCCCGAGCUACGAGAAUGGAAAAGGAAAUUACAACGCAUGGUGGACAGGUUGAGAGAUAGUUUCUGCAGGCAGCAUGCUCUUGAACUAAUAUUUACAGAUGAAGGUGAUACCCAUCUCAGUGCAGAAAUGUAUAUUAGUAUGGAUAAUACUGUUGAAGAGCCAGAGUGGGUCCCAUCUCCAAUUUUCCAGGAACUGUAUGCAAAGCUAAAUAGGAUGGCAGGCGUUGCUGCAGAUAUGUUUGUUGGUAGAGAAAGAUUUGCUACUUUGCUAAUGAUGCGGCUCACUGAGACAGUUAUCCUUUGGCUCUCGGAGGAUCAGGCCUUCUGGGAAGAGAUCGAGCAGGGACCAAAGCCUUUGGGCCCCCUUGGUCUUCAGCAGUUCUACCUGGAUAUGCAAUUUGUCAUCAUCUUCGGACAAGGUCGAUUUUUGUCUAGACAUGUGCAUCAAGUCAUAUUGGAUAUCAUUGAUAGAGCAAUGGGUGCCUUUUCUGCUACCGGAAUGAAUCCUGAUAGUGUCCUUCCCGGCGAUGAUUGGUUCAUGGAUGUCGCUCAAGAGGUUGUCGGCAUGAUCAGUGGAAGGGGUAGGGCUGCCAAUGGGGACAGGGAGAUUAACAGCCCGACUGCCUCUGUUUCAGCACACUCUAUGUCAUCGUUCAGAUCCCAUGGCAGCUCUUAG
Molecule: ribosomal RNA, 2340 nt
Filed under: Triticum aestivum (bread wheat)
Lineage: Eukaryota; Viridiplantae; Streptophyta; Magnoliopsida; Poales; Poaceae
Description: partial small subunit ribosomal RNA
Source: RNAcentral